GGUAGGGAGGGAGUGCCAAUUUUUUAGUAUGUUUUGAGGGGGUUGACUCAUUGUGUAGCUCUAGAUGGCCCAGAACUCACAGAGAUCUGCCUGCCCUACUAAAGUGCCGGGAUUAAAGGAGUACACCACCUGGCCAAGCCGCCUCAAAGAUGGGUGUUUUGCCCGAGUGUAUUUAUGUGUAGCACAUAGGUAUGGUGCCUGCAGAGGCCAGAAGAGGGCAUGGACUCUCCUGAAGCUGGGCUUGGUGGGUUGCAAGUGGGGACUGGGGGCUGCACUUGAGUGCUCACAAUCGUUGGCCUGUCUGUCCACCCCGCCGCUGCUCUGGAUUGUUUUGUGUGUGGGUUUUAUCUGCACGCAAGUCUGUAGCCCAUCCGCGCCUGAUGCCCCCAAGGGCCUGGAAGUGGAGUUAAUAGACUUUUGUGAGCCAGCGUGUGAUGUGGGCACUGGUAGUGCCACCCCAUUCUCCAGAAGAACACUUCGUUCCUCUAACCACUGAGUGAGCCUCCGCCGUUUGAGGCAGGGUCUCACCAUAUAUCCCUGGCUGGCCUGGAACUGACUAUGUCGACCAGGUUGGCUUAGAACUCCACUUACCAGUGUUUUCUAAAUGCUGGGAUUAAAGAUGUGCCCUGGCAGGCACCACUUCUAAACCCAUUUUCCCUCCCCUCUCUCUGUCUCUCACAGUGCCAUCAAAUGGAACUUUA
RNAcentral lists this long non-coding RNA (701 nucleotides) under Rattus norvegicus (Norway rat). RNAcentral describes it as "long non-coding RNA NONRATT026524". Lineage: Eukaryota; Metazoa; Chordata; Mammalia; Rodentia; Muridae. The record is from RNAcentral.